Molecule: ribosomal RNA, 139 nt
Filed under: uncultured fungus
Lineage: Eukaryota; Fungi
Description: partial 18S ribosomal RNA
Rfam family: Eukaryotic small subunit ribosomal RNA
Source: RNAcentral
UCAAAGAUUAAGCCAUGCAUGCAAAUUACCCAAUCCCGACACGGGGAGGUAGUGACAAUAAAUACUGAUACAGGGCUCUUUAGGGUCUUGUAAUCGGAAUGAGUACAAUUUAAAUCCCUUGACGAGGAACAAUUGGAGG